UCCCUUAGUAGCGGCGAGCGAACAGGGAAGAGCCCAGCGCCGAAUUCCGCGUCUCAAAGGGCGUUUGGAACAUGUGGCGUUUAGGAGGAAUCUCUCCGAGGGCAGACGGUGUCGCAAGUCCCCCUGAACGGGGCUGUGAUCCAGAGCGGGUGCGAGGCCCAUAGCUGGUGCCGUCUCCUUUGGGUGUCCCCUCCUUGGAGUCGGGUUGCUUGGGAGUGCAGCCCUAAUUGGGUGGUAAACUCCACCUAAGGCUAAAUACGUCCGUGAGACCGAUAGCAAACAAGUACCGUGAGGGAAAGUUGCAAAGAACUUUGAAGAGAGAGUUCAAGAGUACGUGAAACCGCUCAGAGGCAAACGGGUGGGCCCACGAAAGCCGAAGGCGGGGGGAUUCAGUCGAGAGGACGGUGGGGCAGGACWGGCUGGUUGGACGGACCGUGCCAGGCCGGGUCAGUUCCCGAGAUCUGCCGCCUUUCGACGCAUUUCCCCCUGCUUAGUAGGACGCCGCAACCGGUUGGCGCUGCAGCCAUAAGGGAGAGUAAAUGGAAGGUAGCCAGUGAGUUCUUCUUCGGAGGCGCGAGCUGGUCCUAAGCCGACUCUCCUGGUGCUUGUGGCCCGACCGUGGUCGUGAGUCCCUCAACGGGAUGUCGCCGAGCCCUCUGACUGGAGCGGGAGAAGUGGCAGGCUGCUUUCCGCGGAAAAAAUCGAUCGCUUCACGCGUGCAGUGGGCGAUCUCCGGAGGUAGCUGCUGGUGCGUUUUUCUCCUGCGCUGGGCACAGGCAGUUGGCGGCGAGUAGGUCGGUCACCCACCCGACCCGUCUUGAAACACGGACCAAGGAGUCUAACAUGUGCGCGAGUCAUUGGGUCUUGAACAAGCCCAAAGGCGCAAUGAAAGUGAAGACCAGCACUGAAGCUGGUGGAGUUGGGAAACUGUGUCACUGAAGAUGCAGUUGCACCAACGGCCCGUCCCGUCCGCAUCGUCGGUGGGGCGGAGCGAGAGCGUACACGUUGGGACCCGAAAGAUGGUGAACUAUGCCUGGGCAGGACGAAGCCAGAGGAAACUCUGGUGGAGGUCCG
Molecule: ribosomal RNA, 1074 nt
Filed under: Draculoides noctigrassator
Lineage: Eukaryota; Metazoa; Arthropoda; Arachnida; Schizomida; Hubbardiidae
Description: partial large subunit ribosomal RNA
Source: RNAcentral